AUUGAACGCUGGCGGCAUGCCUUACACAUGCAAGUCGAACGGUAACGCGGGGCAACCUGGCGACGAGUGGCGAACGGGUGAGUAAUGCAUCGGAACGUGCCCAGUAGUGGGGGAUAGCCCGGCGAAAGCCGGAUUAAUACCGCAUACGACCUACGGGUGAAAGCGGGGGACCGUAAGGCCUCGCGCUAUUGGAGCGGCCGAUGUCAGAUUAGGUUGUUGGGGGGGUAAAGGCCUACCAAGCCGACGAGCUGUAGCUGGUCUGAGAGGACGACCAGCCGACCUGGGACUGGGACACGGCCCAGACUCCUACGGGAGGCAGCAGUGGGGAAUUGUGGACAAGGGGGGAAACCCUGAUCCAGCCAUGCCGCGUGCGGGAAGAAGGCCUUCGGGUUGUAAACCGCUUUUGUCAGGGAAGAAACGCUCGGGGCUAAUACCCUGGGGUAAUGACGGUACCUGAAGAAUAAGCACCGGCUAACUACGUGCCAGCCGCCGCCGUAA
This 498-nucleotide ribosomal RNA is filed under the name uncultured bacterium. RNAcentral describes it as "partial 16S ribosomal RNA". It matches the Rfam family "Bacterial small subunit ribosomal RNA", at positions 29 to 523 of the family's 1533-position model. The record is from RNAcentral.